Molecule: ribosomal RNA, 1064 nt
Filed under: human gut metagenome
Description: bacterial SSU rRNA
Rfam family: Bacterial small subunit ribosomal RNA
Source: RNAcentral
GUUGUGGUGAGGGUAGUGGGUAAAGAAGCGCCGGCUAACUACGUGCCAGCAGCCGCGGUAAUACGUAGGGCGCGAGCGUUGUCCGGAAUUAUUGGGCGUAAAGGGCUUGUAGGCGGUUGGUCGCGUCUGCCGUGAAAUCCUCUGGCUUAACUGGGGGCGUGCGGUGGGUACGGGCUGACUUGAGUGCGGUAGGGGAGACUGGAACUCCUGGUGUAGCGGUGGAAUGCGCAGAUAUCAGGAAGAACACCGGUGGCGAAGGCGGGUCUCUGGGCCGUUACUGACGCUGAGGAGCGAAAGCGUGGGGAGCGAACAGGAUUAGAUACCCUGGUAGUCCACGCUGUAAACGUUGGGCACUAGGUGUGGGGGCCACCCGUGGUUUCUGCGCCGUAGCUAACGCUUUAAGUGCCCCGCCUGGGGAGUACGGCCGCAAGGCUAAAACUCAAAGGAAUUGACGGGGGCCCGCACAAGCGGCGGAGCAUGCGGAUUAAUUCGAUGCAACGCGAAGAACCUUACCAAGGCUUGACAUGCACGGCGGCACUGCAGAGAUGUGGUGGCAUUUAGUUGGUCGUGUGCAGGUGGUGCAUGGUUGUCGUCAGCUCGUGUCGUGAGAUGUUGGGUUAAGUCCCGCAACGAGCGCAACCCUUGCCCUAUGUUGCCAGCACGUGAUGGUGGGGACUCGUGGGGGACUGCCGGGGUUAACUCGGAGGAAGGUGGGGAUGACGUCAAAUCAUCAUGCCCCUUAUGUCUUGGGCUUCACGCAUGCUACAAUGGUUGGUACAGAGGGUUGCGAUACUGUGAGGUGGAGCGAAUCCCUUAAAGCCAGUCUCAGUUCGGAUUGGGGUCUGCAACUCGACCCCAUGAAGGUGGAGUCGCUAGUAAUCGCAGAUCAGCAACGCUGCGGUGAAUACGUUCUCGGGCCUUGUACACACCGCCCGUCACGUCACGAAAGUUGGUAACACCCGAAGCCCAUGGCCUAACCACGUUUGUGGGGGGAGUGGUCGAAGGUGGGAUUGGCGAUUGGGACGAAGUCGUAACAAGGUAGCCGUACCGGAAGGUGCGGCUGG